Molecule: ribosomal RNA, 491 nt
Filed under: Clostridioides difficile
Lineage: Bacteria; Bacillati; Bacillota; Clostridia; Peptostreptococcales; Peptostreptococcaceae
Description: bacterial LSU rRNA
Rfam family: Bacterial large subunit ribosomal RNA
Source: RNAcentral
ACUGUCUCAACAACAGACUCGGUGAAAUUGUAAUUCCGGUGAAGAUGCCGGAUACCUGCGACAGGACGGAAAGACCCCAUGGAGCUUUACUGUAGCUUGACAUUGGGUCUUGGUACUACAUGUACAGGAUAGGUGGGAGGCUUUGAAACCAGGACGCCAGUUUUGGCGGAGCCAUCCUUGGGAUACCACCCUUGUAGUACUGGGACUCUAACCAUAGGCCAUGAAUCUGGUCUUGGGACACUGUCAGGUGGGCAGUUUGACUGGGGCGGUCGCCUCCCAAAAGGUAACGGAGGCGCUCAAAGGUUCUCUCAGUACGGUCGGAAAUCGUACGUAGAGUGUAAAGGCAAAAGAGAGCUUGAUUGCAAGACAUACAGGUCGAGCAAGGAUGAAAAUCGGACUUAGUGAUCCGGUGGUUCUGCGUGGAAGGGCCAUCGCUCAACGGAUAAAAGCUACCCUGGGGAUAACAGGCUUAUCUCCCCCAAGAGUCCACA